UCUACUUCCCAUUUCGUUGUGACGGUGGACAUUGGACAUGAAAGAUAAUAUGCGAAAUUAGAUUCCCGGCGUGAGCGAGGGAGCGCGAUAAAAGACGAACUGCGGGUAUGCGGAAUAAAGAGAAAAGAGACCGAAAAGGAGAAAAGGAGCGACAUACACGCGGAGAAGAUAUGAGAAAUUGGAAAAAAGACGAAAAAAGCGACGUUCGUAGGAAACGUCUUGAUACAAACAACAGCAUUCUCGAUUAAUCGAGCUCGAGCUAAAUUUCAACAAUUCCUUCUUAUCUUGUACUCGACGGUGAAAGAAAGAGUUGGUGAAUAUGGAGUCUCAAGGGCGAAUUCGGCGGCGCAGGUUUGAGAGCAAAAAGAGUAAUAAUAAGGGCGGGGCCGUGACGGAAAGUGGAAAGAGAAGCGGGAGAAGGACGGAGAAGCCGAGUCGAGGGACAAAGAGGAGGACGAGAUUGAGGAGCGAGGAACGAGGACGAGGACUUAAGGAUGCGCUGUACAAAUUGCGAGAGAAAGAGAACAAGGGUGGCGAACGGUAGACAUGUUUAAUGACAGAGAAUUGCAAGUAAUGGCGAGUAACGCGGCCUAUUUAACACCCCCGCCUUAUCCUAUCACACGAAAUAACCCUCUGUGUCCCCGUUAAUACUCUCUCUUAUCGUCUCGAGCUAGCGAGGCGACUCGCCGUGAAAUCAAAUCAAGCGAGCGAAUACGAUAAAUGCGAAUUACCAAAUGUAUUUGUAUUUGUAUUAUUCGAUAUAUACCCAUGCGUACGGGUUUCCCUUAAACAAAUAAAAAUGUUUUAAAUAAAAA
Pogonomyrmex barbatus (red harvester ant) is the source of this 815-nucleotide long non-coding RNA. Lineage: Eukaryota; Metazoa; Arthropoda; Insecta; Hymenoptera; Formicidae. The record is from RefSeq and is a predicted model, not a curated record.